ACGGACGAGAAGCUUGCUUCUCUGAUGUUAGCGGCGGACGGGUGAGUAACACGUGGAUAACCUACCUAUAAGACUGGGAUAACUUCGGGAAACCGGAGCUAAUACCGGAUAAUAUUUUGAACCGCAUGGUUCAAAAGUGAAAGACGGUCUUGCUGUCACUUAUAGAUGGAUCCGCGCUGCAUUAGCUAGUUGGUAAGGUAACGGCUUACCAAGGCAACGAUGCAUAGCCGACCUGAGAGGGUGAUCGGCCACACUGGAACUGAGACACGGUCCAGACUCCUACGGGAGGCAGCAGUAGGGAAUCUUCCGCAAUGGGCGAAAGCCUGACGGAGCAACGCCGCGUGAGUGAUGAAGGUCUUCGGAUCGUAAAACUCUGUUAUUAGGGAAGAACAUAUGUGUAAGUAACUGUGCACAUCUUGACGGUACCUAAUCAGAAAGCCACGGCUAACUACGUGCCAGCAGCCGCGGUAAUACGUAGGUGGCAAGCGUUAUCCGGAAUUAUUGGGCGUAAAGCGCGCGUAGGCGGUUUUUUAAGUCUGAUGUGAAAGCCCACGGCUCAACCGUGGAGGGUCAUUGGAAACUGGAAAACUUGAGUGCAGAAGAGGAAAGUGGAAUUCCAUGUGUAGCGGUGAAAUGCGCAGAGAUAUGGAGGAACACCAGUGGCGAAGGCGACUUUCUGGUCUGUAACUGACGCUGAUGUGCGAAAGCGUGGGGAUCAAACAGGAUUAGAUACCCUGGUAGUCCACGCCGUAAACGAUGAGUGCUAAGUGUUAGGGGGUUUCCGCCCCUUAGUGCUGCAGCUAACGCAUUAAGCACUCCGCCUGGGGAGUACGACCGCAAGGUUGAAACUCAAAGGAAUUGACGGGGACCCGCACAAGCGGUGGAGCAUGUGGUUUAAUUCGAAGCAACGCGAAGAACCUUACCAAAUCUUGACAUCCUUUGACAACUCUAGAGAUAGAGCCUUCCCCUUCGGGGGACAAAGUGACAGGUGGUGCAUGGUUGUCGUCAGCUCGUGUCGUGAGAUGUUGGGUUAAGUCCCGCAACGAGCGCAACCCUUAAGCUUAGUUGCCAUCAUUAAGUUGGGCACUCUAAGUUGACUGCCGGUGACAAACCGGAGGAAGGUGGGGAUGACGUCAAAUCAUCAUGCCCCUUAUGAUUUGGGCUACACACGUGCUACAAUGGACAAUACAAAGGGCAGCGAAACCGUGAGGUCAAGCAAAUCCCAUAAAGUUGUUCUCAGUUCGGAUUGUAGUCUGCAACUCGACUACAUGAAGCUGGAAUCGCUAGUAAUCGUAGAUCAGCAUGCUACGGUGAAUACGUUCCCGGGUCUUGUACACACCGCCCGUCACACCACGAGAGUUUGUAACACCCGAAGCCGGUGGAGUAACCUUU
RNAcentral lists this ribosomal RNA (1392 nucleotides) under Staphylococcus aureus. RNAcentral's name for it is "bacterial SSU rRNA". It matches the Rfam family "Bacterial small subunit ribosomal RNA", at positions 69 to 1443 of the family's 1533-position model. The record is from RNAcentral. Lineage: Bacteria; Bacillati; Bacillota; Bacilli; Caryophanales; Staphylococcaceae.